This 409-nucleotide ribosomal RNA is filed under the name Elaphe taeniura (beauty snake). Its description in RNAcentral is "Elaphe taeniurus (beauty snake) partial small subunit ribosomal RNA". The record is from RNAcentral. Lineage: Eukaryota; Metazoa; Chordata; Lepidosauria; Squamata; Colubridae.
UAUGCCCAACUAUAACAUAACAAUUAAAUAACUUAUUGUUCGCCAAAUAACUACGAGUAAAAACUUAAAAUUUAAAAGACUUGACGGUGCCUCAAACCAACCUAGAGGAGCCUGUCUAAUAACCGAUACCCCACGAUAAACCCGACCCACUCUAGCCUACAGUCUAUAUACCGCCGUCGCCAGCCUACCUUGUGAAAGAAAUAAAGUGAGCCUAAUAGCCCCACACGAAUACGACAGGUCGAGGUGUAACUUAUGAGAGGGAUAAGAUGGGCUACAUUUUCCAACACAGAAAAUACGAAUUAAUCUAUGAAAUAAGAAACUGAAGGCGGAUUUAGCAGUAUGCUGAGAACAAUAUGCCCAGCUGAAACCAACGCAAUGAGGUGCGUACACACCGCCCGUCAUCCCUGUU